UGGGGAAUAUUGCGCAAUGGGCGAAAGCCUGACGCAGCAACGCCGCGUGGGUGAUGAAGGUCUUCGGAUCGUAAAGCCCUGUCAGUGGGAAAGAUGGCUUUGGCAGCUAAUAUCUGUCGAAGUUGACGGUACC
Molecule: ribosomal RNA, 133 nt
Filed under: uncultured bacterium
Lineage: Bacteria
Description: partial 16S ribosomal RNA
Rfam family: Bacterial small subunit ribosomal RNA
Source: RNAcentral